This 468-nucleotide ribosomal RNA is filed under the name uncultured bacterium. Its description in RNAcentral is "partial 16S ribosomal RNA". It matches the Rfam family "Bacterial small subunit ribosomal RNA", at positions 28 to 507 of the family's 1533-position model. The record is from RNAcentral.
GACGAACGCUGGCGGCGUGCUUAACACAUGCAAGUCGAACGGAAAGGCCCUGCUUUUGUGUGUUGCUCGAGUGGCGAACGGGUGAGUAACACGUGAGUAACCUGCCCUUGACUUUGGGAUAACUUCAGGAAACUUGGGCUAAUACCGGAUAGGAGCUCCUGCUGCAUGGUGGGGGUUGGAAAGUUUCGGCGGUUGGGGAUGGACUCGCGGCUUAUCAGCUUGUUGGUGGGGUAGUGGCUUACCAAGGGUUUGACGGGUAGGCGGCCUGAGAGGGUGACGGGCAAAAUUGGGACUGAGAUACGGCCAAGAAGGCUACGGGAGGCAGCAGUGGGGAAUAGUGCACAAUGGGCGGAAGCCUGAUGCAGCAACGCCGCGUGCGGGAUGACGGCCUUCGGGUUGUAAACCGAUUUAGCAUGUGACGAAGCGUGAGUGACGGUAAUGGGUAAAGAAGCACCGGCUAACUACGUG